RNAcentral lists this ribosomal RNA (1390 nucleotides) under uncultured bacterium. Its description in RNAcentral is "bacterial SSU rRNA". It matches the Rfam family "Bacterial small subunit ribosomal RNA". The record is from RNAcentral.
AGAGUUUGAUCCUGGCUCAGGAUGAACGCUGGCGGCGUGCUUAACACAUGCUAGUCAAACGGGAAAUAUUUCAUUGAGACUUCGGGGGAUUUGAACUAUUUCUAGAGGCGGAUGGGUGAGUAACGCGUGGGUAACCCGCCCCAUACAGGGGGAUAACAGUUGGAAACGACUGCUAAUACCGCAUAAGCGCACAGGGUCGCAUGGCCUGGUGUGAAAAACUCCGGUGGUAUGAGAUGAACCCGCGUCUGAUUAGCCAGUUGGUGGGGUAACGGCCUACCAAAGCGACGAUCAGUAGCCGACCUGAGAGGGUGACCGGCCACAUUGGGACUGAGACACGGCCCAAACUCCUACGGGAGGCAGCAGUGGGGAAUAUUGCACAAUGGGGGGAACCCUGAUGCAGCGACGCCGCGUGAGCGAAGAAGUAUUUCGGUAUGUAAAGCUCUAUCAGCAGGGAAGAAGAAAUGACGGUACCUGACUAAGAAGCACCGGCUAAAUACGUGCCAGCAGCCGCGGUAAUACGUAUGGUGCAAGCGUUAUCCGGAUUUACUGGGUGUAAAGGGAGCGCAGGCGGUACGGCAAGUCUGAUGUGAAAGCCCGGGGCUCAACCCCGGUACUGCAUUGGAAACUGUCGGACUAGAGUGUCGGAGGGGUAAGUGGAAUUCCUAGUGUAGCGGUGAAAUGCGUAGAUAUUAGGAGGAACACCAGUGGCGAAGGCGGCUUACUGGACGAUUACUGACGCUGAGGCUCGAAAGCGUGGGGAGCAAACAGAAAGGGAUACCCUGGUAGUCCACGCCGUAAACGAUGAAUACAAGGUGUCGGGGAGCAUUCCUGCUUUCGGUGCCUCGCAAACGCAAUAAGAAUUCCUUAAGGGGAGUACGUUUGCAAGAAAUGAAAUCAAAAGGAAUUAACGGGGACCCUCACAAACGGUGGAGCAUGUGAUUUAAUUGGAAGCAACGUGAAGAACCUUACCAAGUCUUAACAUCUAGAUGUCAGAAUAUGUAAUAUGUUUUCUCUUAGGAGCAUCGGUGACAGGUGGUGCACGGUUGUCGUCAGCUCGUGUCGUGAGAUGUUGGGUUAAGUCCCGCAACGAGCGCAACCCCAUAUUCUUAGUAGCCAGCGGUUCGGCCGGGCACUGUAAGGAGACUGCCAGGGAUAACAUGGAGGAAGGUGGGGAUGACGUCAAAUCAUCAUGCCCCUUAUGACCAGGGCUACACACGUGCUACAAUGGCGUAAACAGAGGGAAGCAGCCUCGUGAGAGUGAGCAAAUCCCAAAAAUAACGUCUCAGUUCGGAUUGUAGUCUGCAACUCGACUACAUGAAGCUGGAAUCGCUAGUAAUCGCGAAUCAGAAUGUCGCGGUGAAUACGUUCCCGGGUCGUGCACUCACCGCCC